Caretta caretta (loggerhead turtle) is the source of this 2749-nucleotide long non-coding RNA. RefSeq lists it as uncharacterized. NCBI's taxonomy places the organism in Eukaryota, Metazoa, Chordata, Testudines, Cheloniidae. The record is from RefSeq and is a predicted model, not a curated record.
GGAAAGGGCCUUCAUCUGCACUCAGCCAGGGAGCUGGCAGCAGCUGUCUAAAUCCAGGAUCACCGAGGUGCCGCUUUCUCAUACCACAGGAAACAAUUUGAAGCUAUUAAGCCAACCUUGCCGAAGUCCAAAUGCCUGAUGCAAUCUCUGCAGAUCGGUGCACGGCUUGGAUCUGUGCCCCGGGAUUCGCUCCGGAAGAAAUGCAACCGCGCAGAACUUUGGGAAAAACCAAAUUCCAUCGGUUUUAAGCCAAAAGGAGGAAAGCGAAUGAGGGAGCUGACAGAAAACUGCACUGGCCACCGUUAUCCACGGCUUUGCUAAGGUAUAUCAGGCCCAGCACAGCUGUAGUUGCUGCAAGAAUGGAGCCCAGUGCUCCUGUGGCUUAACAGACUGGCCCUUUGGGGAUGGAAUGUCUCAUGCUCGGCCGCAGCCCUGAAGGGAACUGGUUCUGAACGAACAGCGCUCUGAACAGGUCGCCCCGUUAGCACCGUCUGCCAAACACCACCAACCGGACCAGCUGCAGUGGCCGCUGACACUACAGGAGUGAGUCCAACUCUGCCCUCGCGGAGGCUCCGACUGGCCAUGGUGCAAGGGCAGCACUAUCCUACUAGGAUCAUUUGCUUCCCUGAGUCAAUACUGCAAGUUUUGCAGUAAUUGUCUAGAACAUUUCUCAGCUGCUUUGUUUGUGCUCCGGUGAUCUGAGUGGCUUGGGCUGCAAAGGAAAAUCAAAGGGAGUUUGGUGCCUAACACCCUUUAAGGAUCCGGGCUGAAAGCACUGGCACCAGGUCCUUCUCGGCUCCCUCCUGAGGGGUACAGGAGGCUCGGAAGGGGUUUUAUUUUUAUGGAGAUGUUGUUUGGCGUAUCAAGCCUCCAACAGGUCUCUGUACAGCCUGGGUGUGCACUCCUGGAGCCAAGCGCCCCCAGUCCUCUGGCACAGUUUUACCAUCGCCCCCAUCUUUGGAAACAGUUCUGAAGGGACUAGCUGGAGAAAGCCGGACUUUCGUUUACUGGACACAGGCUUGCUGUGGUAAAUCACACCAACUGCCCAUUUCAUGUCCCCGUCCAUGUUCCAGCACUUGGACCCAGCCCUGGGCUGGCUGGUGACCAGGAUGAAUUUACCCUUCCAUUUCAGCAGGGACAGAAGAGCACAAGGAUCAAUAUCACUUACUAUUUGUAUCCCAGUCAGCAUCAGAGCAGAUGAACAAGGCCAGACCAGAAAUGACAGCUCUUUCCUUUUCAUCUGGAGCUCUGAUCCCGUCCCCAGUCCACCGUGCCCUGCUUGCUCAGUCUUCAGGCAGAGCAUUAGUCACCCCUCACUUGUACCCAGCAAUCACUCUCUGCUUGCCCUUUGUUUCUCACUGAACAGAAAGGCAAAGCACUGCAUGACGCUAGAUGGUGAGGGAGCCAGUGAUGGGAGAACUCCCCACAUUCUGAUCACAGAAAUGUGCCCCUGGUUUGCAAUGAGCGGGUAGGCUGCUCUGGCUCAGAGAUGCACCAUGCAUACUAAUGUGAGGCGACUCAAGAAACAUCUCAGAGUGAGCAGAAUGCUGGCUCAUGUCUACACUGAUUUGCAAUACACAGAGAAGAAAGACAACAGGCAAAAUCCUGGGCCCACAGACAUCAUGGAAAAACUCUCACUGACUUCAGUGGGACCAGGAUUAUACCAUAUCUCUCUUCCAUGUCUGCCUCCUUCCGCCUGGAUCAAUUGAAGGAUUGGGUCCUUAGUCUGGAAGGGGGAGAAAAGUGUGUGUUUACAUGCUGCAGCCAGCAGGGCAUGGUGCCACCAUGAUGGCAGCACUCCCAGGCUGCUACAGGCAGCCAGUGCUAUGUUAGCUAGGCAGAAAUUAGUCGGGGUGGGCAAGGCCCCAUGUUCCCGAUUGCACUUGACUUAAUUCAAUGGACAGUUGGAGAACUCUGCUGACUAGUCAGGUCUCUCCAGAGCCUCUCAGACCAAUGGCUGCCAGCAAUCUCCCCAAUGGCCGCAUGGCUCUACCCUGUGGCUGCACUGCACUAAGCAAGGAGGCCAUUGCAGGCGCCUUGAUGUGGUUCUCGCCUGGCUGCCGGCUCGCUCUGCACGUGGUGCGGCUCUGCCAGCGCACUCCGAUUCCUCUCCCAUGUUGCACAGACUGCGUCUGGAAGCAAGGGCUGUAGGGUACUUUCUAACAGCACAGCAGUAGAGGAGCUGGCGGAAAUGGAGCCACCUUUGUGGCUUCCUAGGGAGUAACUGCUGCAGAUGGGGGUGGGUCAGCUGGUUCCGAGUGGAAGGUACCGCUCCCCACAGAAAAGACAGUGCUUGAAAGCUGGGACUGCCGCUGCGUGUGGGCACAGGGCACUGCACAGACAUCCCCACCAGGGACCAGGUCUCCUCCCUGGUCCUAUCUCAUCAUGCACCCAGAGCAAAUCACUCCUUUCCCCUUCCUGCUGGAGCACUCAAGCGUCCCGUAUUUCCUCUCCUUUUUCCCCUGCCCCUCCAAGCUGCCCUCCGCACCUCCUCAGUGCCGUUCUUUGGCUGGCUGGAAGGGUUGCAGUUCAGUAACUUGAGGCCUAGAGCAACUCUCACAGGCUGUGUGCAGGGCUCCCAGCCCUUAGGGGUGGGGGCAAGGAGCUCUAUGAGAUGUCUCCUCCUUUCCCAGAGGAUGAAUAUGCUGCUUCCAACAGUGGCCUCUGCCUGUGAGCACCCAGCUUUCCCAUGUGGGGUUCAAAAAGGAGCUAGAUAGAUUCAAGGAGGAUAGGUCCAUCAAUGGCUAUG